This 460-nucleotide ribosomal RNA is filed under the name uncultured bacterium. RNAcentral's name for it is "partial 16S ribosomal RNA". It matches the Rfam family "Bacterial small subunit ribosomal RNA", at positions 338 to 795 of the family's 1533-position model. The record is from RNAcentral.
CCUACGGGCGGCUGCAGUGAGGAAUAUUGGUCAAUGGACGAGAGUCUGAACCAGCCAAGUAGCGUGAAGGAUGACUGCCCUAUGGGUUGUAAACUUCUUUUAUAAAGGAAUAAAACGAGGCACGUGUGCCUUUUUGCAUGUACUUUAUGAAUAAGGAUCGGCUAACUCCGUGCCAGCAGCCGCGGUAAUACGGAGGAUCCGAGCGUUAUCCGGAUUUAUUGGGUUUAAAGGGAGCGUAGAUGGGUUGUUAAGUCAGUUGUGAAAGUUUGCGGCUCAACCGUAAAAUUGCAAUUGAUACUGGUAGUCUUGAGUACAGUUGAGGUAGGCGGAAUUCGUGGUGUAGCGGUGAAAUGCUUAGAUAUCACGAAGAACCCCGAUUGCGAAGGCAGCUUACUAAACUGUGACUGACAUUGAUGCUCGAAAGUGUGGGUAUCAAACAGGAUUAGAUACCCUGGUAGUC